Long non-coding RNA from Daphnia carinata, 773 nucleotides. RefSeq lists it as uncharacterized. NCBI's taxonomy places the organism in Eukaryota, Metazoa, Arthropoda, Branchiopoda, Diplostraca, Daphniidae. The transcript is spliced from 2 exons. The record is from RefSeq and is a predicted model, not a curated record.
AAAAUGAACAAAAGCGCUGUUUUAACUAUUCUGUUGUUAUCAAGCAUUUUUGGUUCUUACGGUGUCCAACUCGUCGUUGUCUAUGCCAGUUCCUGGUGUAAUACUAGGCGUUGAAAUUCAGCGGAGUGGACCCUCACUCGGUUUCUUUGGCACUGACGUUUUUCUUCUUUCUCUGCCUAAGAAUGGAAUUGUCAGGUGUACUUGGCAAAAACGAAUACGACGCUACCUACAUUCGAGCUAGUUAGCCGGUAUUUAUUGGACAUUUUCAGUUACGGCUAGCGAAAUGCACCCGAAGAAACCCUUGAUGACAUUCGUCGCCUUUGUGUUAUCUGUGGCAACAGAGGAGCGUUUAUAGGUCAAAGACAUACAUCGAUCGGAAGCUUAAAGCUCUUUACUGAGAUACCCACUUCCUAGCGGCAUUAGACAAAGUAGGGCAAUAACAUAUGCAUGAUGCUAGUUACGGCACGGUGUUAAAUUCAUUCCACUGUGUCAAAUUUAGCACCGAUCUUUAGCGAAUACUACUAAUGUUUUGUAACUAUGCGCAGGGGCGUUUUAUGGUUGUAUUUGCGCCUGUUAACAACCAAUGACGGUGGCGUUUUGUGCUGUAGUUUAUUUUUAGCUUAUUUUUAAAUUUAGCUAUAACCGAAAAUAAGUUCGACAAAAUAAGCCCUAAAAAAUAAGCCCGACAGCAUAAACCCGGCCUUGUGUUUUUGAUGUUUUCUUAAAAAACUAUAAGUGCCAUUGGAAAAUAUAUCUGAUUUUUGUGAUCAGCA